Molecule: long non-coding RNA, 2873 nt
Filed under: Sarcophilus harrisii (Tasmanian devil)
Lineage: Eukaryota; Metazoa; Chordata; Mammalia; Dasyuromorphia; Dasyuridae
Description: lncRNA (ENSSHAG00000021491.1)
Source: RNAcentral
GAUUUCGGCUGGAUUAAAGAAAGAAUUUACAGACAUUAAGGGCUGUUUCUUAUUGGAAUGGAUUAUCAAAAAAUGAUCAGAGUCUUGUUCUAGAUUAGGGUUCUUAAUGGUUUUUUUUUUUUCUGUUGUGGAUACUUCUGACAAUCUAAAUAAGAUUACAGACUCUUUCUCAAAAUAACAUAGGAUUCUUGUUUUGUUUACUCCUGAGACUGGGUUUCCCUCUCUCACCUAGACUGGAAGUGAAGUUGUCAGUCACAGACUAAUUAAAGCAUGGGGGUUAUAGAUAAUGGGCUCUGCUUUUCAGAUUAAGGCUACUUCUCCCUUCCAUAGACAACUGAUAGCGCUAAGAGGGGAGGGAGGGAGGAAGGGAGGGAAAUAGAAGAGAGAAAGAAGAUGAAAGAAAGAAAGAAAGAGAAAGAAAGAAGGGAGGGAGGGAAGGAAGGAAGGAAGGAAGGAAGGAAGGAAGGAAGGAAGGAAGGAAGGAAGGAAGGAAGGAAAGAAGGAAGGAAAGAAAGAGAAAGAAAAAAGGAGAAAGAAAGAAAGAAAAGAGAGAGAGGAAGGGAGGAAAAAUGAGAGGAAAUAUUUCAUAUUUAAGCACUGGUUUGAUGAUGAGCAUGAUAUCAUAAAAGAGCAAAGAAGAAAACCGUGAAGGGAACAGCUUUAGUCGAACACUGCUGAUCCUCUGAUUUUAUCACAUUUAAUUGUUUUGAUAUUUUUAAAAAACGUGCAGUGCGCCCAGUAAAUGGUGUUUGACCACACAAGAACACCUCCAGUCUAGCUGUGCAGACCCUGGUAAGAUGCUGCCUCCUUGUGGUUCGCAUUGGGAAUAACAUGAGAACUCCCCAAAUCAUACAUCCCAAUGAAUGAAUUCCUAGGAAGAAAACCAUGGAACCUAUGCAUUUGUAGACACUGUAGAGAAGAAGAAUGGAGUAUUCACGCGACAUUUUCUUUCUCUUUAUUUAUCAGUUAUUUACUUAUUCUGGAAGAGAGAUGGCCGAUGAAGGUGGAUCUUGGGUCAAAGGAUCUCUGCUCAAAUGCCAUUUGCAGGCAGAACUUCUGAAGGCUCAGAGCCAUUUCCACACCAGGAUGAAGGAUUAGGUGGGACUUCAGAACAACCAGCGACACUGUGAAAAUAAAUCUGAACGAUCAAAGAACCUGCAUAAAUAGUUAGGCUGGAAUGUAGAGUGUAAAAACAGAGAAGUGGGCUAGACAGAAAUUGUGGAAUGGCUCAAUAAAUCAUGGGGUGUGAAUAUAAUGUAUAUAAUGAGAAAUGACCAGCAUGAGGAAUAUUCAGAGGAGCUUAAAAAGACUUGGACAAACUGAAGAAAAGUGACGUCCAGUGAGCAAGAAAACAAAAAACAGUAACUAAAUGGAAAGAAUUGCCACCAUGAAUGUUGGAAAAUGAUAAAGUACAAGCUCUGCCCCAAAGAAGACAGAUAAGAAAACAUCUCCUCCCACUAUUUUGAAUUGGUAUGGAGUGGAUAAGUGAGGAAUUUUGCCUGUAUUGGGGAUUUUGCUAGGAAGUUGAUUUUCACCUUUUUUUCCCUUCUUAAAAAAGUUUUUUGAUAGACAAGAGAGUUUUCUGUUAGAAAAUGGGAAGAGAAGAAUACAAGGAAAAUUCAAGCUCUGUAAAAACAAAAAGAUACAAAUAAAAACUUAUUUUAAAAAUAAAAUUAUUAAGAGAGUUGUGCUAAAACCAGGUUGUGAAGUGCUUAAAAUCCCAGAAUGGGACAUUUUGAUCUUGGAUGUAAUAAAGAGGCACUGAAGACUUUUAAGCAGAUGUGUGAUAUGGUAAGAUAUAACAUCACUAAGAGAGAGUAUAAAUAUAAAAGAUGAUUCAUGGUAGAAGUUUACAGAACAACCCAUGCUAGGAAAUGUAAUGGCUUGAGUUGAUGCACUGAGGUCCCAAGCAUGUGAGGCUAAAUAGUAAUUGGACCAUAUUCUACUAAUAUAUAUGCUUGGAGAAAGAAUGGCCCCCGCCCACUCUUUGUGCAAGUUCUGAUGUGUUGUAUAGGAAAUGACAUAGAGAGACCAUUUGUGGAGAGAGAGGGGCUGAGAGAGAGGCAGAGAGACUGCUGGCCGGGUUCAUGUUGCAGCCGCUCACAUUCCUAUUGCCAUCCCCCUUCACCUCCACAAAGAAUAAAGAUGGAAGAUUUUCCCUUAACCUGAAUUCCUGACUCCGGCUGAUUUUAAAAUAUGUGGUCAUCACAAGGAAAUAGUAGAAUAAUGAUGAAACAGUGAAGAAAACUGAGAUUGAUAAGGUACAGUGAUACAAAUAAGAGAAGAAACAGAAAACAUAGUCAAAGGAAAAUGAUUCAAAGGGGAGGGAAGAGGGGGCAGUCAGUAAUAUCAAAAGAUGGAGAGGUCAAAAAGAAAAUGGACUGAGGAAAAGGGCACUGGUAUCAUUGUUAAUAGAUUAUGAGUAAAAUUAUUUCUUUUUAAAAAUGAUUCUCCCCAUUGGCUCAAGCUGUGGUGUAUGAAUAUAAUGGAAUAUUAUUGUGCUAUAAAAAAUGCUGAGCAGGUUGAUUUCUGAAACACCUGGAAAGAUUUACAUAAACUGAAAAGUGAAAAACCAGGAGAACCCUGCAUAUAGUAAUGGCCUCUGUCUUCCACAGGCAGAACUUCUGAAGACUUAGAGCCAUUUCCACACCAGGAUGAGGCACUGGACUGGACUCUGUGGUGAUCAACGUUGAGAGACUUAGCUUUUCUCAUCAAUACAAUAAUCCAAGAUAAUUCCAAAAGACUUAGGAUAGAAAAUGCUAUCCACAUCUAGAGAAAGAACCACAGAGUCUGAAUGCAUAUGGAAACAUACUAUUUUCACUUUAAAAUUUUUUUGUGUGUUUUUUUCCCUUUUGUUCUGUUGCUUCUUUCAU